Non-coding RNA from Paramuricea clavata, 5481 nucleotides. Lineage: Eukaryota; Metazoa; Cnidaria; Anthozoa; Malacalcyonacea; Plexauridae. The record is from the annotation of a GenBank genome assembly.
CUGCCUCUAAACUGAGAAAGAUCACUGUAAGUAUGUAAUGUACAUGGAUUUUGCUUUUAUAUUUUAGAUUAUUUUAUAGGGAGUACAUUAUUCGUUUUUAUGUAUAAUACAAGCCUAUAGACACAUAACUUUUCACCCAACAAACUUAUUUCUUAUUUUUGUAGACCGUAAAGAGAAAAAGUAUAUUUGGGAAAUUCAACAUGACUGGCAAGCUUUUCGUUUUGGCCUUGCUGGGAGCAUUGGUGUUGGUGAAUGUUCAUGGCGAUGGUGAGGCACUCUCUUAUAAUAACGAUCACAACUAAGGCGGCAGAGUUCGUUUUUGGUGAAAACCAGAGUAUACGGAGUCGGAGAAGGACCCUGGUUUCCACAUGGACGAAAUGGUCGUAAAAAUAGAGUCACGAUCUUUCUCAACGGCCAGUCUAUAAUAGUUCAUACCCGUAAGCCACAUAUAUAAAAUCAUAAGUAUUCUCUAGUUAUAAAACUAAACAGUAUGAGUAAUCAGGCAUAUAUCAUUCUUAAUGUUUCAUCUACUCUCUAAAGGCCGUUUUCCACUAGGCGAAUUUUUUCGCGCGACGCGAAGCGAAAACCGAAAUCCGGCAACGUGAUUGGUCGGCGAAAAAAUUCGCGGCGAAAAAGUAGGAUCGCUUCCUACUUUUUAUCUGUUCGCGCGAAAAAAUUCGCCUAGUGGAAAACGGCCUUAAGUCUAACGGACGACGAUUUUACUCAUAAAAGGAAUAUCCUCAAAAAUAUUUCUUUAAUUGUAUAGACGAUUUCAAGGAAGUGGACAACAUGGACGAAGUAGAAAAUAUGGAACAAGAAAGUAAGAAAACUCUUCAUUUAAAGAGGUGUCCGUAUUAAAGAGGGCUCCGUAUUAGAGAGGUGUCCAUAUUAGAGCAGUGUCUGUAUUAGAGGUGUCUGUAUUAGAGCAGUGUCUGUAUUAGCCUGCGAACAGGCUCUCAAGCUGAAUUAUUAGAGAGGUGUCUGUAUUAGAGCAGUGUCUGUAUUAGAGAGGUUUCCGUAUUAGAGCAGUGUCUGUAUUAGAGAGGUGUCUGUAUUAGAGAGGUGUCUGUAUUAGAGAGGUGUCUGUAUUAGAGAGGUGUCUGUAUUAGAGAGGUGUCUGUAUUAGAGCAGUGUCUGUAUUAGAGAGGUGUCUGUAUUAGAGCAGUGUCUGUAUUAGAGAGGUGUCCGCUUUAGUGUCUCUUAUUCGAGAAGUGUCUGCAACGAGAGGUUAGACUGUACCACAAUUUAAGGUACCAUGGAUAUAUGAUGUCAUAUUCCCCUGAUGGCUUUGAAAUUCUUUGCUGAUCAUUUAUUUUCAGUUGAAGAUGAUGAAGAAAGUGAAACCAGGCAACCAAGAUCCCCAUUUAGAUUCAGAGGUUUCAGAAGAACAGGUAAGUUCAAACUGACAAGGGUAGAUGAUGAGUUAUGGUUAAAUCUUCAGAUAACCGAAACCUUGGGACAAAAGCUUGGUGUCUGUUGUUUGAGAGUGUCCUCUGUCUAUAUGUUAAUGUUUAACACAAGAUAUCUAUGGUUUGACAGUGUCCUCUGUCUAUAUGUUAAUGUUUGACAGUGUCCUCUGUCAAAAUGUUAUGCGAGUUAUGGUCAAAUCUUCAGAUAACGGAAACCUUGGGACAAAAGCUUGGUGUCUGUUGUUUGAGAGUGUCCUCUGUCUAUAUGUUAACAGACAAUAACUAGACAAAAAAGUGUACAAGAUACGGUGAUAACCAAGUGCUCUCCAAGUGCUACAAAUAAAAUCACUGCGCAAGGGCUCACUUUUCCCUCACUAGAAACUUCAUGCACGCCCCUGCAGAGGAAAGAGAUCUACAUCUGGAAUAAAGCUGAUUACAAACAAGCAAGUUUUAAUAUAGAGUCUUAUUUGCGCGUCUGCAUGGCCAAGUUUUUCUAUAACAAGUGCACUUGGUGAAAAGAAAGUCUACCGUACUUGUCAUUGAAACAAUUGCAAAGCACUGGACCGCGAGCAGUCCCUAGGGAGAAAGGAGGGACUGCCGACAACACUUGAAGAAACGAAAUACGCCCACUUUUCGCUCUUGUCAAGUCGGCUCCACCUUUGCAUAAACCGUUAAUGUCAUGUUUAUUUAUAAAAUCAACAUUCAGUCUGGAAAUUAUUGAUAGCAUAAUUACCACGUAACAGAUUUGAUUGACAGGCGUAUCGAUUUCGACCAAUGGGAAUUUUGCGUUGUGUGGGCAACGCGUAUUUCGUUUCUUGACGUGUUGUCGGCAGUCCUUCCUUUCUUUUCGCAUGCCCGGAAAUCUAAAGCCGCGGAAAGGAGGGACCACUCGCAGUCUAUAGCGCCAACUAGUUUCCUAUCCAGUUCUUUAACUAUUCAUACUUAUACACCCAGCAUCCGUUAUUAAAGAUUUUCACAGUAUUCAGCACUUCAUUUCUUGACUUGCUAUUUUCCAGGAACUCGUAGCGGAUGGCGAAGUACACGAUCAGGGACAAGAACUGGGGGUAAGCAACAGAGUCGGCACCAGCAGGGGGGGGGGAGCAUAUUAGGCUCGGUCGCCAGGAAGAGGAGGUAAGCAAUAAGGUUGGUCGCCAGGGGGUCAAAUAUGGUGACUGCCUCUCAACAAUGCUUUGGUUCACGAAAUGUUAAAGAGUGCUCAAUGUCAUAUAUAAUAGAGCAGAUAUAGUUGUUUUACCUUAAAAGGUUACCACAACGGCCUGUUUAUAGGACACCAAAGUAUUUCAAUGGAGGUUAAUAUUGAAAUUAACCCGUUGCCUCCUUAUUUAGGGGGAUUUUUCCGAAGAACCAGAAGCAGUACUGGUGGUGGUAGCUCAGGCUCAAGAAUUUUCCGAAGAAGCAGAACCAGUACUGGUGGUGGUAGCUCAGGCUCAAGAAUUUUUCGAAGAAGCAGAACCAGUGGUGGUGGUAGCUCAGGCUCCAGAAUUUUCCGAAGGAAUAGAAGUGGAACACGAACUGGCGGUGGUUCGAGCGGUAACAAUGGUGGAGGUAAAUCAAUAUUCUCCGUCCCAAGUUCAUCUAUUUUCCAUCUCGUAUCUCUACACACUUUUGUAAAAAAUGGACUUGAAAUGUUCAAAUUAGUCUACGCCGAAAAUUUCAUGUUGUCUGUUUUUGAGAUUUUAGAUUUUCCUAGACAUUUCACUGUAAAUCUGGAAUCUGUUGCUGCAGUGAAACAUGGGAAAACUAAAUUUUCAAAACACCAUACCUCGCUCUCUGACUGUUCAAAACAACGUGACAUUUUCGGUAUAUACUAAGUUGAGCAUGAAGAUUUCAAUUCUGGGCUCCAAUUCUGCCAAAUGUGAUGAAAAAUCGAUGACGUUAACCUUAGGUCAGACCGUUCAAAUUGUUGAAUUGGAACACAAAAAGUUUGGGCUUCGGACCUAUCUGACCGGAAAAUUUAGAUAACAUUAGGAUAAGGACAGGGACGCCGGAACGAUGUGAAGGCAAGGGGGGCAGAUUUUCGUGGAAGGGCACUUUUGAAUCGAUAUAUACUAAGAGAUGUUCGCAAAACAUCGGGAGUUGAACUUCGCCUAGUCAUGUUUUCUAUGUAUUGGAUGAUAGGGGUGUGAGGGGGUUCUCCGCCAGGCGAUUGUGCUAUUCUUGAAGCUCGAUGACUGCAUUUCUUGCGUUUUCUGAAGCAAAUUCGUAAAAGAAUUGCACUAACAUUUCUGACAACUCGCUAUUUCGCUAAGGCAAUCCUUUAAAUUGAAAGGGCACCUUUGCCCCCUCCCCCCCCUUGCCCCUAAGGGCAACGGAUAAGGAUAAGUUUGGAUAAGGAUGUUUGAGAAACAUAGACCAGAUCUUUCCAUUGAUACAGAGGAUGGAUACAAAAAUUCGAGUCUGACCGGUCAGGUCAUUAAAUGGAAAGCGCCCUUAGAUAGCAGAAUAAAGAUUUCUAGACCACACCUUGAUGAUGGUAUAUAUGGAUUAUAAAGGAAUAUAGUUUCCAUAUACUGUACUUUAAGUGUCGCAUGUUAAGUUUUUUGUUUGUGUGUUUAUGUAGGAACAGGAACAUGGGGUAAAAUUGGUACCGUCUUGGGCAUCGCACAACUGGGAGUUGAUCUUGCGACAGUCACUCUAAAUACAAUGUCGAGCGUUGAACGUAAAAUGGUCCUCUCCCUUGGGAACUUGGAAGGCGUUGAUUGGCAAGGUCUGCAACAACUUACAUUUCACCAUAUGUCAUUUUAUACCGUUUUUACGUGUGGUUGUUCAUGUUGCUUUUGCCGUUGUUCUUACUGGUGUUGUUGCUGUUGCCGUUGCUGUCUCUGCUGUUGUUGUUGUUGCUGUCGUUGUUGCUGUCUCUGUUGCUGUUGCUGUCUCUGUUGUUGUUGCUGUCGUUGUUGUUGCUGUUGUUGUUGUUGCUGUUGUUGUCGUUGUUGCUGUCUCUGUUGUUGUUGUUGUUGUUGCUGUCGUUGUUGCUGUCGUUAUUGUUGUCGUUGUUGUUGCUGUUGUUAUUGUUGUUGCCGUUGUUGUUGUCGUUGUUGUUGCUGUCGUUGUUGUUGCUGUUGUCAUAAUCGCUGUUGUUGUCGUCGACUUGUCGUCGCUGUCAUUUUUGUCGUUGCUGUUGUUGUGGUUGCAGUUAUUGCUGUUGUCUUUGCUGUCUCUGUUGUUGUUGUUGCUGUCGUUGUUUCUGUCGUCGCUGUUGUUGUUGUCAACUUGUCGUCGCUGUUGUUAUUGUCGUUGCUGUGGUUGCAGUUGCUGUUGUUGUUCUAUGUGGCAGAUUAUCAAAACAUCAAUAUUAAAACCUCCCUGCCCCAAUAGGUUUUGCUUAAAAGCCAGCCUAAUUUUUAGACUAUUUUUGGAGUUGAUAGCCACGUACUACAAGUUAAGAUGAUAGCAAGAAAAAUCAGCAGUUGAAGCGAAGAAUUCAGCAUUGUUGCAUCCAUUGUUAGUUCUUUAAGAGCAGGCUUUAAUGAUUUUAUUUCUUCAUAGGCGGCACGGUUUACAUGAACCAAGGAUCUUCUAUCAAAGCUAUACCCCUCGAAGUUGCGACCGAAGAAGGAGUACAAAUGGGAGGAGUAAAAACCACUGGACCUUCAGCAACUGGAGUGUCAGGUGCUUUGUGUUAUAGAUUCCAGCUUAUCGGGAAAUCGUUCUGCCUCAUGUUCAAAGUACCGUAUAGUGGCGCCAAUUAUUGGAAUGUGAAGGUUUACGACGGAGCAAAACAAGCAAGCGCAGAUAUCUAUAAUGAACUACAGAGUGGCGCCUUUAAAGCUGGUACUCCUGUUGCACAGAAAGAUAUUGGGGCAGGAGAGGGUUAUAAGAUCUACAUGAAAGAUUGCUCCAUGACAAAUUCUGGCCAAGCAGUCUUGCAAGUGUACCUUGGAUUGCAAGAAACUUAAUCCAAUAUGGAACCAAAGAUUAACGGGAAAAACUUUGCUUUAGUUGCUUUGAAAACAGUUCUAUUGAAUUGGGAAAUUAGGUUAAGACCUGAUUUCAGUUAAACUGUAAAUGUUUGCAUAGAAUAAAUUUGCUUUCCCGAAAAUACUCUGUG